AAGCCCGUACCGUACGGUUCGAGACGAAUACAUGUAAUAACGUAAUACCAACACUUAAAAUAGUUUUAUUGUUGCAACACCCAAAAUAUACCACUAUUGAUUUCACUGUAUUUAUUUUAUCCUCAUGUCUUUUUCAUACAAAAAAAGCAAUCAAGUUCAAGUUGCAGUUUAUUUAUAAAAUACAAAUCUUGCACAUAUGUAAAGAGUUACUAAGCUGUUAAAAAGUUUUUUUUAUUUGCUCAUAUCGUGUCUUGCCUUAGGGUAUCGAGGCAGGACUGCCACUGGUGGCCCCUCAAAGACAAUAGAUGCCCCUGUUUAAAACUGGCUCCAAGAAUUAAUGUUUUGUGCAGUUGACUGUAAUUUCUGAGAAAGUCACUGAACACAUGUAUGUGCACAGGGUUUGUUCCUCUCGUUUUCGCUCUGCCUGACACACACGCACACAAUCUCGGCACAGACUCUGUUCGUGUAAACCUUCUCCCCUUCCCCCCACGUCUCUCUCCCUUUCUGUCCCCCUCGUCCUCCCCUCCCUCUCACUCUCACUUACAGCCUGCGAGCACUAUUUCAAGCCUCCAUCAGAAGGAGUGAAGGAGAGCGAGUCACAGAGGUCGGGGGGAGGGGCCGGCAGACAGGAUUUGGAGUUCAAGUGCAUGUGGAGAAAAUGACCUGGAAGACAGUGAGACAGAGAGCGGAAAGCACAGACGGGAAUAUCCUCUUCUUUUCCAUGCACAGAUAUCUGCCUUGGAAUCAAGAAGCGACUGCAGUGCUUCUCUUCUCAUCCUCGCAGCCUGGCAGCUUCAUCCGUGUUCCUCCCUCCUGGACGGAGAAACACGCGCAGCUUUUCUAAUGGUCCCCCCACCCCUCUGCGUGCCUCCCUAAAAAACCAGGCCCCUUCAACAGCUCCUUUUCCUACUUGUCUCGGUGCCUGGUCACCGUCCGCUCUCCUUUGCACUUCACUUACAUUCAUUUUUUUUUCAUUUAUGUUUUUUGUUGAAUAAUUUUCCAGCCCUAUCCCACAAAAAUCUCGCAUUCAUAGUGUGAAAGCAGUUCAGAGUGCUAAAUGAACAGUAGGAAAUGGGCUGAUGGGAUGGGUAGUAGGAAAAACGUGGUUUGGGAGGAAACGCUAAGAGGAGAGAAGUGACUGCCGCUGGGAUAGCGGAGAGGAGGAAGGACCCGGAGCAACGAGAGAAAGAGCCAAACGUGGGAUCAACAAAACCGCGGGAAAAGGAGGAGGAACGACCAGACUGAUCACAGUUCUUAAUCUACUGGAAGAAAUGCCAGUUACAUAAGAAAGAAUGCUGUGGAACUGCAGUUUGGAAUAUCAUCAUCGUUAUUCAUUCUCCAAGACUGUAAUGACAGAAAGAAGCAUGCACGAAUGAAUAUCAUCCAUGAGCGUUUGGAACCACUUGUGGACACAUAAACACACACCAAGACGUUCAGCUCCACAUUAUGAGAAACAUAGGAAUCGUACUCAGGAGAGACUGGAUCGAGACUGACACGAGAACAAAGAAACGGAAAAACCUGCACAAAUAAAAGCCCCCCCAUAUUUUCUGCUGCCAAGUGUUUGUGGAACUUGGUGUCCAUAAAAAUCAAAGAUGGCAGCCUCACGUACUUCCGGGAAUCCUACGCCAGCUGAGCAUUUGCCCUUGAGAUGAAUCGGAAUCAACAUAUAGCUUUCUCAAGGUCGCAGCCUCCGGACAUCCAGAGACGUCGCUCGAUUUGGAGAAGAAAGCGUCAUUGAUGCGUUUAAUGUUUCUUUUGGCAAAUCUGACAAAGGUACGUAGGACGGUAAAGAAGUGUCCUCAUCCAAAAUCAGUUAUUAUAUAACACCAUUCAAAAGUUUGGGUCGGUAAGAUUUAAUCAUGUUUGUCUCUUAUACUCACCAAGGCUGCGUUUAUUUGAUCAAAAAUACAGUAAUAUUGGGAAAAUUAUUACAAUUUUAAAGAACUCUUUUCUAUUUUACUAGAUUUUAAAAUGUAAUUUUUUUU
Molecule: long non-coding RNA, 1985 nt
Organism: Megalobrama amblycephala (Wuchang bream)
Lineage: Eukaryota; Metazoa; Chordata; Actinopteri; Cypriniformes; Xenocyprididae
Exons: 8
Source: RefSeq, a predicted model, not a curated record